This 2771-nucleotide ribosomal RNA is filed under the name Klebsiella pneumoniae. RNAcentral describes it as "bacterial LSU rRNA". It matches the Rfam family "Bacterial large subunit ribosomal RNA". The record is from RNAcentral. Lineage: Bacteria; Pseudomonadati; Pseudomonadota; Gammaproteobacteria; Enterobacterales; Enterobacteriaceae.
AGCGUACACGGUGGAUGCCCUGGCAGUCAGAGGCGAUGAAGGACGUGCUAAUCUGCGAAAAGCGUCGGUAAGGUGAUAUGAACCGUUAUAGCCGGCGAUGUCCGAAUGGGGAAACCCAGUGCAAUUCGUUGCACUAUCGUUAACUGAAUACAUAGGUUAACGAGGCGAACCGGGGGAACUGAAACAUCUAAGUACCCCGAGGAAAAGAAAUCAACCGAGAUUCCCCCAGUAGCGGCGAGCGAACGGGGAGCAGCCCAGAGUCUGAAUCAGCUUGUGUGUUAGUGGAACGGUCUGGAAAGUCCGACGGUACAGGGUGAUAGUCCCGUACACCAAAAUGCACAGGCUGUGAACUCGAAGAGUAGGGCGGGACACGUGGUAUCCUGUCUGAAUAUGGGGGGACCAUCCUCCAAGGCUAAAUACUCCUGACUGACCGAUAGUGAACCAGUACCGUGAGGGAAAGGCGAAAAGAACCCCGGCGAGGGGAGUGAAAAAGAACCUGAAACCGUGUACGUACAAGCAGUGGGAGCACCUUCGGGUGUGACUGCGUACCUUUUGUAUAAUGGGUCAGCGACUUAUAUUCUGUAGCAAGGUUAACCGUAUAGGGGAGCCGCAGGGAAACCGAGUCUUAACUGGGCGUUAAGUUGCAGGGUAUAGACCCGAAACCCGGUGAUCUAGCCAUGGGCAGGUUGAAGGUUGGGUAACACUAACUGGAGGACCGAACCGACUAAUGUUGAAAAAUUAGCGGAUGACUUGUGGCUGGGGGUGAAAGGCCAAUCAAACCGGGAGAUAGCUGGUUCUCCCCGAAAGCUAUUUAGGUAGCGCCUCGUGAACUCAUCUUCGGGGGUAGAGCACUGUUUCGGCUAGGGGGUCAUCCCGACUUACCAACCCGAUGCAAACUACGAAUACCGAAGAAUGUUAUCACGGGAGACACACGGCGGGUGCUAACGUCCGUCGUGAAGAGGGAAACAACCCAGACCGCCAGCUAAGGUCCCAAAGUCAUGGUUAAGUGGGAAACGAUGUGGGAAGGCACAGACAGCCAGGAUGUUGGCUUAGAAGCAGCCAUCAUUUAAAGAAAGCGUAAUAGCUCACUGGUCGAGUCGGCCUGCGCGGAAGAUGUAACGGGGCUAAACCAUGCACCGAAGCUGCGGCAGCGACACUAUGUGUUGUUGGGUAGGGGAGCGUUCUGUAAGCCUGCGAAGGUGACCUGUGAGGGUUGCUGGAGGUAUCAGAAGUGCGAAUGCUGACAUAAGUAACGAUAAAGCGGGUGAAAAGCCCGCUCGCCGGAAGACCAAGGGUUCCUGUCCAACGUUAAUCGGGGCAGGGUGAGUCGACCCCUAAGGCGAGGCCGAAAGGCGUAGUCGAUGGGAAACAGGUUAAUAUUCCUGUACUUGGUGUUACUGCGAAGGGGGGACGGAGAAGGCUAUGUUAGCCGGGCGACGGUUGUCCCGGUUUAAGCAUGUAGGCUGGUUAUCCAGGCAAAUCCGGAUAAUCAAGGCUGAGGUGUGAUGACGAGGCACUACGGUGCUGAAGUAACAAAUGCCCUGCUUCCAGGAAAAGCCUCUAAGCAUCAGGUAACAUCAAAUCGUACCCCAAACCGACACAGGUGGUCAGGUAGAGAAUACCAAGGCGCUUGAGAGAACUCGGGUGAAGGAACUAGGCAAAAUGGUGCCGUAACUUCGGGAGAAGGCACGCUGGUGUGUAGGUGAAGUCCCUGCGGAUGGAGCUGAGACCAGUCGAAGAUACCAGCUGGCUGCAACUGUUUAUUAAAAACACAGCACUGUGCAAACACGAAAGUGGACGUAUACGGUGUGACGCCUGCCCGGUGCCGGAAGGUUAAUUGAUGGGGUUAUCCGUAAGGAGAAGCUCUUGAUCGAAGCCCCGGUAAACGGCGGCCGUAACUAUAACGGUCCUAAGGUAGCGAAAUUCCUUGUCGGGUAAGUUCCGACCUGCACGAAUGGCGUAAUGAUGGCCAGGCUGUCUCCACCCGAGACUCAGUGAAAUUGAACUCGCUGUGAAGAUGCAGUGUACCCGCGGCAAGACGGAAAGACCCCGUGAACCUUUACUAUAGCUUGACACUGAACAUUGAGCCUUGAUGUGUAGGAUAGGUGGGAGGCUUUGAAGCGUGGACGCCAGUCUGCGUGGAGCCAACCUUGAAAUACCACCCUUUAAUGUUUGAUGUUCUAACGUUGGCCCCUUACCGGGGUUGCGGACAGUGUCUGGUGGGUAGUUUGACUGGGGCGGUCUCCUCCCAAAGCGUAACGGAGGAGCACGAAGGUUAGCUAAUCCUGGUCGGACAUCAGGAGGUUAGUGCAAUGGCAUAAGCUAGCUUGACUGCGAGCGUGACGGCGCGAGCAGGUGCGAAAGCAGGUCAUAGUGAUCCGGUGGUUCUGAAUGGAAGGGCCAUCGCUCAACGGAUAAAAGGUACUCCGGGGAUAACAGGCUGAUACCGCCCAAGAGUUCAUAUCGACGGCGGUGUUUGGCACCUCGAUGUCGGCUCAUCACAUCCUGGGGCUGAAGUAGGUCCCAAGGGUAUGGCUGUUCGCCAUUUAAAGUGGUACGCGAGCUGGGUUUAGAACGUCGUGAGACAGUUCGGUCCCUAUCUGCCGUGGGCGCUGGAGAAUUGAGGGGGGCUGCUCCUAGUACGAGAGGACCGGAGUGGACGCAUCACUGGUGUUCGGGUUGUCAUGCCAAUGGCACUGCCCGGUAGCUAAAUGCGGAAGAGAUAAGUGCUGAAAGCAUCUAAGCACGAAACUUGCCCCGAGAUGAGUUCU